CAACUUGAGAGUUUGAUCCUGGCUCAGAACGAACGCUGGCGGCAGGUUUAACACAUGCAAGUCGAGCGCACCUUCGGGUGAGCGGCGGACGGGUUAGUAACGCGUGGGAAUGUACCCUUCACUACGGAAUAGCCCAUGGAAACGUGGAGUAAUACCGUAUACGCCCUCAGGGGGAAAGAUUUAUCGGUGAGGGAUCGGCCCGCGUUAGAUUAGAUAGUUGGUGGGGUAAUGGCCUACCAAGUCGACGAUCUAUAGCUGGUUUGAGAGGAUGAUCAGCAACACUGGGACUGAGACACGGCCCAGACUCCUACGGGAGGCAGCAGUGGAGAAUCUUGGACAAUGGGCGCAAGCCUGAUCCAGCCAUGCCGCGUGAGCGAAGAAGGCCUUAGGGUCGUAAAACUCUUUCAGCUGUGAAGAUAAUGACGGUAGCAGCAGAAGAAACCCCGGCUAACUCCGUGCCAGCAGCCGCGGUAAUACGGAGGGGGCUAGCGUUGU
This 495-nucleotide ribosomal RNA is filed under the name Paracoccaceae bacterium. RNAcentral describes it as "bacterial SSU rRNA". It matches the Rfam family "Bacterial small subunit ribosomal RNA", at positions 1 to 544 of the family's 1533-position model. Lineage: Bacteria; Pseudomonadati; Pseudomonadota; Alphaproteobacteria; Rhodobacterales; Paracoccaceae. The record is from RNAcentral.